GUGUUUUUCUAUAUUGUGAUGUUAUACUAUUGUUUCAGAAAAAGGGAGAAGGUUUGGUACCAUUAAAAUGUUUAACUCCCAGUUCAAAUGUUUGCACCUGUCCUAAGUCAGGAAUCUGAUGUACAGUAGUUGUCGUUUGUUUAUGUAAUUUAUACAUGUUUCUCGUUUCUCAUUUUUUAUAUAGAUUAGAAUGUUGGUUUUCCCGUUUGAAUGGUUUUACACUAGUAAUUUUGGGGCCCUUUAUACUUGUUGUUGGUGUGAGCCAAGGCUCCGUGUUGAAGGCUGUAC
Molecule: long non-coding RNA, 288 nt
Filed under: Mytilus galloprovincialis (Mediterranean mussel)
Lineage: Eukaryota; Metazoa; Mollusca; Bivalvia; Mytilida; Mytilidae
Source: RNAcentral